RNAcentral lists this ribosomal RNA (546 nucleotides) under uncultured bacterium. RNAcentral describes it as "bacterial SSU rRNA". It matches the Rfam family "Archaeal small subunit ribosomal RNA", at positions 724 to 1267 of the family's 1478-position model. The record is from RNAcentral.
ACGGAAUAGAUACCCGGGUAGUCCCAGCCGUAAACGAUGCUCGCUAGGUGUCAGGCAUGGCGCGACCGUGUCUGGUGCCGCAGGGAAGCCGUGAAGCGAGCCACCUGGGAAGUACGGCCGCAAGGCUGAAACUUAAAGGAAUUGGCGGGGAGCACAACAACGGGUGGAGCCUGCGGUUUAAUUGGACUCAACGCCGGACAACUCACCGGGGGCGGACAGCAAUAUGUAGGCCAGGCUGAAGACCUUGCUUGAAUCGCUGAGAGGAGGUGCAUGGCCGUCGCCAGUUCGUACUGUGAAGCAUCCUGUUAAGUCAGGCAACGAGCGAGACCCGUGCCCACUGUUACCAGCAUAUUCUCCGGAAUGAUGGGUACUCUGUGGGGACCGCCGAUGUUAAAUCGGAGGAAGGUGCGGGCCACGGUAGGUCAGUAUGCCCGAAUCUCCCGGGCUACACGCGGGCUACAAUGGAUGGGACAAUGGGUCCCUACCCUGAAAACGGGUCUGGUAAUCUCACAAACCCGAUUCGUAGUUCGGAUCGAGGGCUGUAAC